This 440-nucleotide ribosomal RNA is filed under the name uncultured bacterium. Its description in RNAcentral is "partial 16S ribosomal RNA". It matches the Rfam family "Bacterial small subunit ribosomal RNA", at positions 338 to 795 of the family's 1533-position model. The record is from RNAcentral.
CCUACGGGUGGCAGCAGUGGGGAAUAUUGCACAAUGGGGGAAACCCUGAUGCAGCGACGCCGCGUGAGUGAAGAAGUAUUUCGGUAUGUAAAGCUCUAUCAGCAGGGAAGAAAAUGACGGUACCUGACUAAGAAGCCCCGGCUAACUACGUGCCAGCAGCCGCGGUAAUACGUAGGGGGCAAGCGUUAUCCGGAUUUACUGGGUGUAAAGGGAGCGUAGACGGUUAAUCAAGUCAGAAGUGAAAACCCAGGGCUCAACCUUGGGACUGCGUUUGAAACUGAGUAGCUAGAGUGCAGGAGAGGUAAGCGGAAUUCCUAGUGGAGCGGUGAAAUGCGUAGAUAUUAGGAGGAACACCAGUGGCGAAGGCGGCUUGCUGGGUCGAUACUGACAUUGAGGCACGAAAGCGUGGGGAGCAAACAGGAUUAGAUACCCGAGUAGUC